Drosophila navojoa is the source of this 402-nucleotide long non-coding RNA. NCBI's taxonomy places the organism in Eukaryota, Metazoa, Arthropoda, Insecta, Diptera, Drosophilidae. The record is from RefSeq and is a predicted model, not a curated record.
CUGGCAUUGAUGUGUGUGUUGUUAGUCGCCGUCUCUACAAAACCAUUUGUUUAACAGUGCGUAUUUUAAAUUAAACUGAACAUGUGAAGCUAAACUAAACGUGAAAUUAGUAACUAUACACGAAAUAGCGUUGCUUAUGCAUUAACAGCAGUGAGUGUAAUGCGCUAAACUCUCAAGUCAAUUUUGCGUUGAAACGAGACGCGGCGUUGUGACGUCAAAAGCAGCAGCAGGAGCAGGAGCAGCAUCAGCAGCAGGAGCAGGAGCAGGAGCAGCAGCAGCAGCUUUGCCACAUCUACUACGCCGCCCGUUGCCACCCCACAGCACACGCACAUACACACACACGCGCUCACACAUACAGCCACGCAGCAUAACAAUAUAAAGGAACAAAAAAAAAUAACAGAA